CUCUCUCUCUCUCAAAAUAAAUACCUAAACUUAAAAAAAAAAGAUUUUUUCCAACUAUACAUAAUGUAAAUAACGCAUCUUGUGAAGUCAAAUCUAUUUCAACACCAAAAGUCCAGUUACAAUAUAACCAUGGUUGACUCAUGGGCUCACUAAAGCAAAGUCAGUCACUAAUAUCCUGUUUUUGAGCAUUCUUCCUCAUGGCCAGUUUGGCUGCUAUAGGUCACAUUAUUCCCUAACAGGCUUCAUCUUGGAUAGUACAUGGCAUACUGAAUGACAUUACAAGGAGCACCUUGCCUUGUCUAUGAGAGCAAAAAAAGGGAAAUUUUGGAUACAUCAUGCUAAAUACAAGGCAGAGAUUGGGGUGAUGCUCCUACAAACCAAAGAAUGCCAAAGAUUGCCAGCAAGCCAUUAAAAGCUAGGAAAUGCAGUACAAACCAGUGUGCACCUAGCUGUCAAUAAUAAUCCCUACACCUGGCUCAAGCAUCUGUUUUGCUGGCCUCCCACCUCAAGAAAGCUGCCAGAAAGCUUAUCAGGUGGGUGUGUU
Long non-coding RNA from Neofelis nebulosa (Clouded leopard), 544 nucleotides. RefSeq lists it as uncharacterized. The transcript has 3 exons. The record is from RefSeq and is a predicted model, not a curated record. NCBI's taxonomy places the organism in Eukaryota, Metazoa, Chordata, Mammalia, Carnivora, Felidae.